RNAcentral lists this ribosomal RNA (572 nucleotides) under uncultured bacterium. RNAcentral describes it as "partial 16S ribosomal RNA". It matches the Rfam family "Bacterial small subunit ribosomal RNA", at positions 355 to 925 of the family's 1533-position model. The record is from RNAcentral.
UGAGGAAUAUUGGUCAAUGGGCGAGAGCCUGAACCAGCCAAAUCGCGUGAAGGAAGACUGCCUUAUGGGUUGUAAACUUCUUUUAUACAGGAAUAAAAAACGGGGACGUGUCCCUUAUUGCAUGUACUGUAUGAAUAAGCAUCGGCUAACUCCGUGCCAGCAGCCGCGGUAAUACGGAGGAUGCGAGCGUUAUCCGGAUUUAUUGGGGUUUAAAGGGUGCGCAGGCGGGCUUUUAAGUCAGCGGUGAAAUCUCGGGGCUUAACUCCGAAACUGCCGUUGAAACUGGGAGUCUUGAGUAUGGAUGAAGUAGGCGGAAUUCGUUGUGUAGCGGUGACAUGCUUAGAUAUAACUAGGAACUCCGAUUGCGUAGGCAGCUUACUAAGCCAUAACUGACGCUCAAGCACGAAAGCGUGGGGAUCAAACAGGAUUAGAUACCCUGGUAGUCCACGCCGUAAACGAUGAUUACUAGUUGUAUGCGAUAUACCGUAUGUGACUAAGCGAAAGCGAUAAGUAAUCCACCUGGGGAGUACGCCGGCAACGGUGAAACUCAAAGGAAUUGACGGGGUCAUAGC